Armigeres subalbatus is the source of this 434-nucleotide long non-coding RNA. RefSeq lists it as uncharacterized. Lineage: Eukaryota; Metazoa; Arthropoda; Insecta; Diptera; Culicidae. The record is from RefSeq and is a predicted model, not a curated record. The transcript has 2 exons.
ACUAGUGAGAAAGCUGAAAGAAUACAGGAAAUGGUCAUCCGUCUAGGGAUCAACGAGUUGUUGAUACACCAUAUCAACAGAUUGCAACAUUUCUGCCACUGGAAGCGAAUGGGUAUAUUGGAAUCAUCAUCCUUCCGGUUGCUUGUAACUCCUUGCAGUUCGAUGUGGGUCCUACUGAGAGUAUCGGUUGGGAGGAUGCGUUAAACCGGUUAAACUGCAUUCGUGCUUCUGCACGAAGCUGAAAUCGUAGCUGUAGUAGCUCAAGGAUAUUGGGAUGAAGAAAAAUGCGAUAUUGAGCGGUAAUCUGAUCGUUGUAACGGCCCCAUUUGAAUUAAAGAACAUAAAGACAUAGUUACGUUAGAAUUGCCUGAAGAAACAAGUUUAAAAAUGUGCCAUAAGAAAAAGUUAUUAUAUUGAAUAAUUGGACUUUACAA